This is an RNA transcript of Culicoides brevitarsis, 3867 nucleotides long. RefSeq lists it as uncharacterized. The transcript has 14 exons. Lineage: Eukaryota; Metazoa; Arthropoda; Insecta; Diptera; Ceratopogonidae. The record is from RefSeq and is a predicted model, not a curated record.
ACACAACUGUUAUUCUAGCUUUAGCAACGCAACUGUUCAAACCAUAUAUUUGGCCAAAUUUUAGCGUGAGUGUGUGUCAGUGUGGCAGUUACGGAAUACGAAAACAAUAGAAAAUAAAAAAAAAACUAAAAAAUAUUGCCAGAAACAAGAUAAAUAGUUCAUUCAUACUACUACAAGAAAAAUAUUCAGCUUAAAAUUAUAAUUAAAUAAAAUUAAAAAAAAAACGACAACGAGCUUCAAUACGAAAAAAAGUGUGAAAUUUAUCGAAUAAUUGGUGAAAUAUUUUACAAUUGCCAAAAAAUAAUACAAAAAAAAAAUAUAAAAAGAGAGAAGUGACAACGCAAAAAAGUGAUAAUUAAAAAAAAAACAAAAAUAUGAGCGAAUGACUUCAUUUAUUCUACUUUAUUUAUUAAAUAUAUACCGGUGUGUUUCGCUAUUAUAGACACAAUUCAAUACAAAACAUUUAUUUAUAAAUUUAUAAUAAUUAUUUUGAACUUUUGACACGCGGACGACGGAACUUUCGGGUCAUCGAUAUUUAUUGAUAUCAAAAAAUUGAUUUGGAUUAAACACGAAAACAGAUCGUCAAACAGGACAAACAUCAAUCUGUGAUAAAAAAUCAGAAGAAAAAAUCCAUAUUUUAUACGAAACUUCACUUUUGAACAUCCUAUCAGGCCUUCAUUGAUGAUGGCAAACAAUUAUUGACACGCUGACGAAGACAUAUUAUGGCAAUUGAAGAUCUAGCAGAUCAAGUUGAAGAUUACAUUUGUACAUUUGAAGGUUUCGGAGACAUCGCGAUGGAUUCCUUGGCUAUGUUUGUAUUUAUUUGGUCCCUUUUUGUCCUCAUCUCCAUCUGGCUCGGCAAAUAUUUGUACGCAAAGUACAUCAAAAAAGACGCUUCGGUCGAAUCAAGCACGAGUUCAAGCACAAUAUCCUCCGUGACAGCAAAAACAGCAACUUCCGUGUCGAGCAGUGCUCCAAUUCGCAAGUCGGAACCGCGUGAAAUUCAUCGAAAUGGCGCCGGAAUGAGUCGUGGCAUGUCCGCCACUCCAUCACGUGCUGAUACGCCACUCGCCAAUCAAGCACAACUCGCCCGCAAACGUUUAAGCAGAAAAAGUCCCGGACCCGAGUUGCGAACGAGAAAUCGUUAUACGCCAGUGCCGCAAAAUAUCAUGGGCGAAGAUUCAACCAACAUCACUUGGGUUACGAGAACGUUCCGAUGGUUGUACAGCGACUUGACGAUCGUUAAUGAACUCUUGCAAACAUGGACCACGGCGGUAAAUGACUUUAUCCGAAGUGAAUUGCGCAAAGAAGACAUCACGAUUGAAAUUGUGCGUAUUUUAUCGGAAACUGGUGCACCAAAUUUGGGCAAUUUGUACUGUGAACCUACCGGAAAUGCACAAGAAGUGUUGCUUACCUGCGAUUGCGACUGUAACGUCGUGUUCCAAGCCAAAACGUUCACCAACAACAACGACAAAGUCGAGGUUUCGCAUUAUAAAGUCACCGUUUCGCGUUUUAAGGCUCGUUUGGCAAUCGUGAUGAAUUAUAUUACCUUAAAGGGCAACAUGCGUAUCGAGGGCUAUCCAGAAAUUAAGUUGGUUAUCAAUAGUAUCGGCGCUAUCAAGCCAGGAAAGGAAGAAUCUACCGUUCAAGCUGCAAUUAAUGAGACUUUUGUCACUGCAUUGCGUGAAACUAUCUAUCCAAUUGACUUUUCAAUUUAUGCAACGUGUCCUCGUGGCAUGGAUAUGGAACCCAGUUAUGAUAGUUACUCAAUGACAACGUCAGAGGAGGAGUACAACAUGUAUAGAACUCGUUCCCCGACACUUUUAUCCUCAGUUUCUUCUAGUCGACGACUUCUAGUCAAAGUAGUUCGUGGCGAACAAAUUCUCGGUGCUAAAGAGAGUUAUUGCGUUGUAGAAAUGGACGAGCCGGCACAGAAAAAUCAAACAAACACAAAAACUGGCGAUAGUCCUUACUGGGAUGAACAUUUCUUGUUCAACUUGUCAGCAAAUUCCGCUGAAUUACUCUUCGAAGUAUACGAUACUCCCUUAAAACCGAAUGGUGCUCCGAAAUUCUUGGGUUUGGGUCUCGUUGGCAUCGAUGAACUCUCGAUAGGACUCGCAUCCACGCAAAUUCUCACGUUACAGCCACGCCCGUAUGAAACGGAAACCGUGCAUGGCUCCAUUACGGUAGAGUUUGUAUUUAUCGAAGGUGCGAACAUUGACGCAAAACGACCUGAAUUAGUGCCUAGAACAUUAAGACACGCUGCACAGUCACCAGCAUCGCCAGCACAUAACGAUUCCACUUUGAGAACUACAAAUAUAUCCCCAAUCAAACCCGAGCCCUACGAUCGUCGAAACCUCUAUAACGAUAACAAAUUAAAUGCUAUGCAAACGAAUGGAACUAAAGAGCCUUUAAUGACAUCCAAAGAUACUCAUGCCAAUACUAAUGCAAGUCGCAAUGCGAAUCAAUAUCAUCAGAAUGGUUUGCUUAGUCCCACACCCGUUAACUAUCAUAACUCAUCCGCAAGUACUAAUAACAACAACAACACAUUAUCGCCGUAUUCGGGAAAUACGCUGAACGGAGAUCACAAAAAUGAUGCCAGCAGCAAGUUAAUUCAUCAGGAACAGCAAAAGCAGGAACAAAAUAAUUUGGAUGACAGAGGACGUGCGAAGGCAAAGAGAAAUUUCUUUGGAAAUAUUAAGAAACGUUUGACACGUUCUAAAAGCAGAGAUCGCGACAAUUACAACAGCAUGGACUCGAGAUCAGCAUCUUCUGAUCGUCCCUCGACUUUACCUCUACCUCCUCGGAGUCAUACUGGGGGGUCACAAGGUGGUACCUUGCCGUCAAUGAAUUUAUCACGUCGAUCAUCUGUUUCAGAAUCGUCAAAUGUUUCGGGCUGGUCAAGUGCAUCCGCCAAGACAUUUGUCCACGAAUCAUCGACUCUCGUACUGGAAACUGUCGAAAAUGGUGUCAAAAGACACUUUUUAGUUCCAUUGGCUAUUGCACAACGACCACGAUGGAGGCGCAAGGGAACAAAAUUACACAUUUAUAACGAUCAUACUUUCAUCGCGAAGCAUAUUAGUGGUGGAGCAAUUUGUGAAGUAUGUAAUCGUUCGAUAAUGCGUCGUCCCGGCAAGCAAGGUUACGAAUGCCGAGACUGUGGACUUAAGUGUCAUAAGCCAUGUCAUGUUAAAACAGCACAAGUUUGCCAAAAAUCAACAAUUUUAUCAAUUGAAUUGUCUUCUCUACCAGUUUUACAAGAAAAUAACUUGUAACACAGAGAACAUGGUAGAAGCUCUAUCAAAAAAUCAAAAAUAUAUCAGAAAUGCUUCUUUUUUACUUAAAUUACAUUAAAAAAAUAAUAUAUUGUCAAUACUUAAUGGGAUGAGGGUUUUCUUGUGUAAGAUUCAAGUUAAAUGACGCCGAGAUGGAUCGCUAUACGCGUAAGCUUUAACAGAAAAUUUAUACUUUUAUACCUAUUUUGUGGAUAUUCAGCUUGAAAAUAAGAUAUGCAGCAAAGAUCAAAAACACAACAAGAAUAAAGAGCAUCGCGCACCACUGAACGCCGAAUGGAGAAGAACAAAACGUGAUGCCUUACGAAUUUUUUGCUAGACAAACGCAACAUUAAGGAACUUUGCUACUUAACUUUUGUUUUAAAUUUUAAUAAUUUUUUUUAUGCGGAACGGAGCCCGGUGUUGACACUUACUCUUAGUAUAUUUAUACUACUUUAAUAUAAUUUAUUGGUUCAAUUUAAUUUUUUCGAAUUUUACUUUAAAAAUUUUAUUUAUAGGAAUUAAUAGAUUUAAGUUGUUGACUACUGUAAACCACAAAUCGUGCUUUCUCAUCCAAAAUUUUUAUAAAAUCUCA